UACGUAGGGUGCGAGCGUUGUCCGGAAUUACUGGGCGUAAAGAGCUCGUAGGUGGUUUGUCGCGUUGUUCGUGAAAUCUCACGGCUUAACUGUGAGCGUGCGGGCGAUACGGGCAGACUAGAGUACUGCAGGGGAGACUGGAAUUCCUGGUGUAGCGGUGGAAUGCGCAGAUAUCGGGAGGAACACCAGUGGCGAAGGCGGCACUCUGGGCCGGUACUGACGCUGAGGAGCGAAAGCGUGGGGAGCGAACAGG
RNAcentral lists this ribosomal RNA (253 nucleotides) under uncultured bacterium. Its description in RNAcentral is "partial 16S ribosomal RNA". It matches the Rfam family "Bacterial small subunit ribosomal RNA", at positions 524 to 776 of the family's 1533-position model. The record is from RNAcentral.